RNAcentral lists this ribosomal RNA (455 nucleotides) under uncultured bacterium. RNAcentral's name for it is "bacterial SSU rRNA". It matches the Rfam family "Bacterial small subunit ribosomal RNA", at positions 30 to 479 of the family's 1533-position model. The record is from RNAcentral.
AUUGAACGCUGGCGGCAUGCCUUACACAUGCAAGUCGAACGGUAACAGGUCUUCGGAUGCUGACGAGUGGCGAACGGGUGAGUAAUACAUCGGAACGUGCCCGAGAGUGGGGGAUAACGAAGCGUAAGCUUUGCUAAUACCGCAUACGAUCUCAGGAUGAAAGCAGGGGACCGCAAGGCCUUGCGCUCACGGAGCGGCCGAUGGCAGAUUAGGUAGUUGGUGGGAUAAAAGCUUACCAAGCCGACGAUCUGUAGCUGGUCUGAGAGGACGACCAGCCACACUGGGACUGAGACACGGCCCAGACUCCUACGGGAGGCAGCAGUGGGGAAUUUUGGACAAUGGGCGCAAGCCUGAUCCAGCCAUGCCGCGUGCAGGAUGAAGGCCUCGGUUGUAACUGCUUUGUACGGUAACGAAAAGGAACUACUGGUUAAUACCUAGGGUCCGAUGACGGUACC